UUCCCCAUUCCUCAUUUUCCUAUAUCGAUACUACAAUUUAUAAGCAACAGUUAGCCAUGGCCAUCCAGCAUCUGCUCCUCAUCGUCUUCCUGGCUUCCGUCCUCCAAGCGGCCACCUCCGACACAGCGUACGACCUUUUGGAGAAAAACAACUUCCCGCGGGCUCUCCUGCCUCAGGGUGUGAAGUCGUACGUGAACCAUGGGGGCGCCGUUGAGGUGACCCUCCCUGCCUCCUGCGAUUUCAACGUUACGGUUGCCGGUGGAUCACACAAGAUUCGGUUUGACAGCAUAGUCAGUGGGGUUAUCCGGCCCGGAUCCAUAACUCAACUGGGCGGCGUGAGGAUCCAGUUUGAGUGGGAUUUUCUUGCAUUCCACACGGUUCAACGCGUCGGUGACAAGCUCAGGUUUACUGGUAGUGAGCAUGCAGCCACGUUCGACCAGUCAUUUCCGGUUAGCAACUUCGUGCAGAGCGCCAGGUGCAGCUAAGGGUCUGAUUGAUUAGGGAUGCAUCGCACGCAUGCUUUACUAUAAUGUGUAUGCAAGAUGCAUGUGUCUCUGUGAGUCCGUUGCUUUAUGUAGAAUGAAUAAACUGAUUAUGUAAUAAGUCAUGGUUCCAAGACCAAAUAUUAUUGUGAUGAUCAUUUUUUUUGCGCAGUUAUUUAUUGUGAGAUGUUGCAAUGGUUCCUCCUACCCUCAGGAACAAGAAAUUCCACAUGAUAUACUCUGUCAGAGUCUCGCAGGUAAUUAGAAAUAAUCUUGAUCUACAUAGCAUCAGAUCCACAAGGGUGUCCGAUGGGUUGUAAAAUAUCGCAGGGCUUACUGAAAAAUAGAAGAGCAAAACAACUCAAUCCUAAUGUGUAAUAUUCUUUGUGACAUCUGACAUUAACAGCCACUAAAAUAAGAAAGGAGAGCAAGGUAUAUUUGAUCUUUCACUCCCCAUGCAUUAUAAGUUCUACAUGUUAAUAAAUGCCUAGACACCUUCCCCCCGAAAAAAACAAGAAGAAUGCCUAGACUCUUAUUUAGUUCAUUUGCAGAAUGUUCUCUAAAAAUAAUCAUUGCAUUUCUCUGAAAAGAUCAACAUUGCUUUAGAAAACCGUGGAAAAAAACAUCAGCAAUAUUUUCUUCUUUCAGGGGAUCAGCUAUAUUUGAUGGCAUACAUAAAGUAAGUAUAUUCCAAUAUUCAGUGAGCAAAUCCCCAAGUAGUAAUUCCCAUUCAGCAACAGGGAUGAUAUUAAUAUUUUCUUGUGAUCCGUACAAAAAGUUCAAAAUUAGCCAAAAUACUGAAGGGGGGUGUCCCGGUAGCUACACCUACUUUCUAUGGCCAGAAUCGGUGGAAUCGGAUGCGGCGGCCCAAGAUUUGGUAGCAGACAUCCCGGGCGGCAGGGUGGCGGCGGGGCUGAGAACAGCCGAUUGAGUUGCGGCGGCGGCAUGAGCUGCGACAGUCGGUCAGACUAGGUGUGGGGUGGCGACCGUCGGCGGUGGGGUAGUCUCAUCGCGAGUGGUUGGGUUCCUGCUGCAUUGUUUUUGGUUUCAGCGCUGCUGAUGUGUAACAAAAUUUUGGGUAAUUUUCUUUUGCAACAAAUAGGUAUAUAGGGCAUCUUUUGGACACUUUUUUUGCCCAAAGUGACCUAACUGACAAUUUUUUUGACACAACGGCUAUUUUACAUCAUCCGUCGAAGAUGCUCCACUACAAGAAAGCAUAUUAAGCUGAGUGUGCAGACCACCUAGCAAAGGCUGAUUUCGCCUCGGUGGGUUUGACACUCAGCGUAGCGCACUCAAGGUACAUCAUGUCGGCAUACCGACGUAAGCCGAGUGCCUUUCGUCCACUAGUAGAGAAAUGGCAGAACAAAAUAUCGUAGGGUGUGCGAUGGGUUGUCCGAUUGUGAAUUAUGUCUGGUGCUAUGUUUGCUUGUAAAAAAUGAGUAAUUGUAUAAUGUAGCACUUAUGUUAGACCUAGUCGAGCCCAUUCAUCGCACACGGUUUUGAAAGCGUGUGUGUUGGCACCCCAAUCGCCAACCCAUCCGAGCACACGAUUUUUAAUUAUAACCGUAUGUGAUGUACCCUUCCUAUUGCACAUAGUUUGUAUGUUCUAACUAUGUGUGAUGGACUCAAUAUCGCAUACAAUUUUUAUGCUCUAACAGCAGCCUAGGCUCGAGAUCAACCCAACGCGAUGGUUGAUGGACUAUGAGCAGGCCCUUCUACUAUAUUACUGAUCACUAGUUUAAAUAGGCAUUAUACUUCUCUCUUAUCUCCUGGCUGGGAUUUGGAUUAUGACAUCAGGCGGUGUAAUCGUGUUGCUGUGAGGGUGGACGGGCGGCUAGCUAACAAACCAAUUUCCGCAAUUUCAAAUUCUAAUCCCUAGCAAUUCCUCUCGAUCGAGUGAGUUGCUCACAGUUGGUAUAAGAUUCAGUGGUCCUGGAGUUGCCGCGACACCAUCACUGGAUGCGGUGGCGUGAUCAGCGGUGAGUGGAGGCGAUGGACAAGCCGUACGAGGAAGGGUGCAACGUGUACGCGCUUCAACGAGCGUAUUUCACCGUAGGUCUGGACCGGCUCUUCAAGGAUCACGAUGAGAACGCUCUAUGGCUUGCUUUCGGCUCAUGACCCAACAAUUAUAAUAGCAUGGAACAAUAAAAAAUAUAAAUAUGUUGGAGACGUAUCAUAACCCAACAAGAUCUAAAUUAAAUAUAUUGCUUGGAGUUGUUUUUUAGUUUAGUUGCAUUGCACAAGAAAACUUUAAGAGAAGUGGAAGGUGGAGGGGUAGGCACCUGCUCCUCUGCACUCUUCAUUUUGGAUGUUAUGUAUGAGUCUGUGCUGGCCUGAGUAGGCAUCCUGAAAGAGAUGAUCUGGACAAUGAGGAGAUAAUCAUUCUAUGCACCGCAUACCGAUGUAAAACUCAAGUAUAUCUAAAUGAAAUAUUUCUUUCUUGCGGGUGUUUUAUGUUUUAGUUGCACUGCACAACAUUAUUUGAAGAGAAGAGAAGCCUCAUCGGUACCCAAGCCAACAUAAAGGAUCAAACUGUUGGGGAUGUUGAUGUUUCCCCUUGAUUCAUUUUUAGGUUUUUGCAUAUGUUUCAUAUGUUGGCUGUGAAGUGCGUAAAUGACUGUUGCUCUGAAAUUUCAAUUCUAUAUGCAUGUCUAUUAUGAGAUGCAAAGCUUUGUGCAAAUGAAUGAUGUAUGCCUAUGUUUAUUUGAAUGUUUACUUUCAAUUUCAUUCACGUGACUAGUUAAGUAAUACAAAAAUUGAGGAGUGUUUCAUCUGACUAUCAUUAGCUGGGGAGAGUUCCUAAAAGAAAACAUUUAUACCCCUAACAUUUUUUUAGAAAGGAGGCGCUUCCUCGGCCAUAAACUGAGGUCCUUACAAAUCCACAAGUUCAACGAUCCGAACAACAAAGUUAAAAACAAAAGAUACAAGCCUGCAGGCAGAAUCACAGCGGCGCAGCGCUGACAAGCCAACAACGAGAAGGAAAUGGGCUAUCGAGGUAGCGAGGGGCGGUGAUGAGCCGGUGAUGUUCCCUACGGUGGUCGGCGCAUCUCAGUGCACCUUGCUCGCACCUUUGUUACGAGCUCCUGCACGCGUCCUCUUUCCUGUGGUUUUGCUAGUAGCUUAGUAGCUGGAUGCUUGAUGAAAUGAACAUACAAAAUGAAGGUGGUUAUUCGUAUGAAACUGCUUGUGGCAAGAAGGGAAUAGAAAGCGGGACGAAAUCACAUGUGCUGUCCAUGAUAUUGGAGGCGGUUUGCACAACCGCCGGCUUCGUGCGGAGUAUUAACGAAUCAGGCUUUGAGGAGGAAAUGAAACAAGUGUUGUAAUAUAUUCCAAAAAUAUUUGGUUGUAGGAAACAUUUGAAUUAAUAGUAUAUGAGAAAAAACUAAAAAAACCAUAUUAUAUAUUGUAUAGUUGAAAAAUAUUUGUCCAAUAUAGGUAGUAAAAUAAUAUAAUGGAUUUUUUCCCAUGCAUGUUGGGUGGGCCUUCGAUGAGGUGGCAUAUGUGCAUGGCUUAUAUGUGUAUGUUGAAAUAAAUAGAAUUAAUGAGGGUCAAUUCAUAAUAAAAAAUAAUUCUCAUGCAUGUUGUGCUGGAUCUUUGAUGAUGUGACAUGUGUGCAUGUUAAGAUAAUAGAAAUAGCGAGGAUAAACUAUUUAGGUACGUAGGAUAUGUUUUCAAUCUCAUUUCACGGUACGUAUUGAUUAUGCAGAUUUGAGGAACGUUUUGGCAAAACCAUUAACAAUAGUAUGUUCUAGGCCAGAAAUAAAUAUGAUUUAAUGGGAUGAUAUAUUUAGCAUAUUUGACGAGGCGGUUGAUGGAAUGAUAAUUAGGAACAAAAUAAAUGCAAUUAAAGUACGAUUGACUUUGAUUUCGUUGGGCAGCAUAUAUAAUACCCGGCCUGCCUCAGUCUAGACGUACUUCCCCAUUCCUCAUAUUCCUUGAUACAAUUUGUAAGCAGCAACAGUUAGCUAGCCAUGGCCAUCCAGCAUCUGCUCCUCAUCGUCUUCAUGGUUUCCAUCCUCCAAGCGGCCACCUCCGACACAGCGUACCACCUUUUGGCGAAAAACAACUUCCUGCGGGCUCUCUUGCCUCUGGGCGUGAAGUCGUACGUGAACCAUGAUGGGGGCGCCGUUGAGGUGACCCUCCCCGCCUCGUGCGAUUUCAACGUUACGGUUGCCGGUGGAUCUCACAAGAUUCGGUUUGACAGCAUAGUCAGUGGGGUUAUCCGGCCCGGAUCCAUAACCCAACUGGGUGGCGUGAGGAUACAGG
Molecule: long non-coding RNA, 4748 nt
Filed under: Triticum aestivum (bread wheat)
Lineage: Eukaryota; Viridiplantae; Streptophyta; Magnoliopsida; Poales; Poaceae
Description: long non-coding RNA (TAES_LNC004811)
Source: RNAcentral